GGGGAAUCUUCCGCAAUGGGCGAAAGCCUGACGGAGCAAUACCGCGUGAGGGAUGACGGCCUGUGGGUUGUAAACCUCUUUUCUCAAGGAAGAAGUUCUGACGGUACUUGAGGAAUAAGCAUCGGCUAACUCUGUGCCAGCAGCCGCGGUAAUACAGAGGAUGCAAGCGUUAUCCGGAAUCACUGGGCAUAAAGCGUCUGUAGGUGGUUUGGUAAGUCCGCUGUUAAAGACUGGGGCUCAACCCCAGAAAAGCAGUGGAAACUGCCAGACUUGAGUGUGGUAGAGGUAGAGGGAAUUCCUAGUGUAGCGGUGAAAUGCGUAGAUAUUAGGAAGAACACCAAUGGCGAAGGCACUCUACUGGACCAUAACUGACACUGAGAGACGACAGCUAGGGGAGCAAAUGGGAUUAGAUACCCCUGUAGUC
This 424-nucleotide ribosomal RNA is filed under the name uncultured cyanobacterium. Its description in RNAcentral is "bacterial SSU rRNA". It matches the Rfam family "Bacterial small subunit ribosomal RNA", at positions 356 to 795 of the family's 1533-position model. Lineage: Bacteria; Bacillati; Cyanobacteriota. The record is from RNAcentral.